RNAcentral lists this ribosomal RNA (558 nucleotides) under uncultured Atopobium sp. RNAcentral describes it as "bacterial SSU rRNA". It matches the Rfam family "Bacterial small subunit ribosomal RNA", at positions 967 to 1528 of the family's 1533-position model. Lineage: Bacteria; Bacillati; Actinomycetota; Coriobacteriia; Coriobacteriales; Atopobiaceae. The record is from RNAcentral.
AACCUUACCAGGGCUUGACAUUCAGGUGAAGCGGCGGAAACGUCGUGGCCGAGAGGAGCCUGAACAGGUGGUGCAUGGCUGUCGUCAGCUCGUGUCGUGAGAUGUUGGGUUAAGUCCCGCAACGAGCGCAACCCUCGUCGCAUGUUGCCAGCGGUUCGGCCGGGCACCCAUGCGAGACCGCCGGCGUUAAGCCGGAGGAAGGUGGGGACGACGUCAAGUCAUCAUGCCCCUUAUGUCCUGGGCUGCGCACGUGCUACAAUGGUCGGCACAAUGGGCUGCCAGCCCGCGAGGGCGAGCGAAUCCCUAAAGCCGGCCCCAGUUCGGAUUGGAGGCUGCAACCCGCCUCCAUGAAGUCGGAGUUGCUAGUAAUCGCGGAUCAGCACGCCGCGGUGAAUGCGUUCCCGGGCCUUGUACACACCGCCCGUCACACCACCCGAGUCGAUUGCACCCGAAGUCGCCGGCCCAACCCGCAAGGGAGGGAGGCGCCGAAGGUGUGGUUGGUAAGGGGGGUGAAGUCGUAACAAGGUAGCCGUACGAGAACGUGCGGCUGGAUCACCU